GAAACUCGGAAGGAACUAUAACGGCGUCGAGCGGCGGACGGGUGAGUAAUGCCUAGGAAAUUGCCCUGAUGUGGGGGAUAACCAUUGGAAACGAUGGCUAAUACCGCAUGAUGCCUACGGGCCAAAGAGGGGGACCUUCGGGCCUCUCGCGUCAGGAUAUGCCUAGGUGGGAUUAGCUAGUUGGUGAGGUAAGGGCUCACCAAGGCGACGAUCCCUAGCUGGUCUGAGAGGAUGAUCAGCCACACUGGAACUGAGACACGGUCCAGACUCCUACGGGAGGCAGCAGUGGGGAAUAUUGCACAAUGGGCGCAAGCCUGAUGCAGCCAUGCCGCGUGUAUGAAGAAGGCCUUCGGGUUGUAAAGUACUUUCAGUCGUGAGGAAGGCGGCGUACGUUAAUAGCGGCGUUGUUUGACGUUAGCGACAGAAGAAGCACCGGCUAACUCCGUGCCAGCAGCCGCGGUAAUACGGAGGGUGCGAGCGUUAAUCGGAAUUACUGGGGCGUAAAGCGCAUGCAGGGUGGUUUGUUAAGUCAGAUGUGAAAGCCCGGGGCUCAACCUCGGAGAUAGCAUUUGAGAUACUGGCAGACUAGAGUACUGUAGACGGCGGGGUACGAAUUUCAGUGUGUAGACGGUGUAAAUGCGUAGAUGAUCAAUGAAGGAAUACUCGGUGGCUGAAGUGCGGCCCCCUGGACAGCAUACUGCAUCACUCAGAUGUACGAAUAUGUCGUGGGGAGCCCUCCUAAACACGGAUCUUUCUUAAGAUCACCCUGGUAGUCCACGCCGUACGAGACGAUGUCCCCCUACUCUGGAGGUUACGUGGCCUUGAGCCGUGGCUUUCAAGGAGUACUAACGCGUUAAGUAGACCGCCUGGGGAGUACGGUCGCAAGAUUAAAACUCAAAUGAAUUGACGGGGGCCCGUCACAAGCGGUGGAGCAUGUGGUUUAAUUCGAUGCAACGCGAAGAACUCUUACCUACUCUUGACAUCCAGAGAACUUUCCAGAGAUGGAUUGGUGCCUUCGGGAACUCUGAGACAGGUGCUGCAUGGCUGUCGUCAGCUCGUGUUGUGAAAUGUUGGGUUAAGUCCCGCAACGAGCGCAACCCUUAUCCUUGUUUGCCAGCGAGUAAUGUCGGGAACUCCAGGGAGACUGCCGGUGAUAAACCGGAGGAAGGUGGGGACGACGUCAAGUCAUCAUGGCCCUUACGAGUAGGGCUACACACGUGCUACAAUGGCGCAUACAGAGGGCGGCCAACUUGCGAAAGUGAGCGAAUCCCAAAAAGUGCGUCGUAGUCCGGAUUGGAGUCUGCAACUCGACUCCAUGAAGUCGGAAUCGCUAGUAAUCGUGGAUCAGAAUGCCACGGUGAAUACGUUCCCGGGCCUUGUACCCACCACCCGUCACACCCACCAGUCGGCAGUAAAUUUGAUCAGUCAGCAGUAACUAGCAACCCUGUU
Molecule: ribosomal RNA, 1449 nt
Filed under: Vibrio alginolyticus
Lineage: Bacteria; Pseudomonadati; Pseudomonadota; Gammaproteobacteria; Vibrionales; Vibrionaceae
Description: bacterial SSU rRNA
Rfam family: Bacterial small subunit ribosomal RNA
Source: RNAcentral